UUCUCAUCGAUCGAGACCUAACACUGCACAGUACUGAAAAGUAUACAUCGCUGAUAGUUUUAAGAACACGAGGAUAGUUUAAGCCCGUCGUUUUAUUUCUUGUUUAGAUUUUAAACUUAUAGACUUCUGAAUAUUGGGCGAUAUUUACCACACAAUGACUGCUGGCCUCACAGUCUGGCUGGGAUUUUUGUAUGUUUUUUUGGCAAGUGCGAACGGACGGGUGCCCGGAUGUAAAGAACCACGACUAUACGCUAAAUACCGUCAUCAUCGCGACCACAAGGUCACCCACAUCAGGGGUUUUCCCGCCGGAGCCACAGUGACAACCCAGUGUGUUGCUGGGUCACGUGACGAAAAGAGGCCAAUCGAAGCGGACUUGUAGACGCGGACGCUGGACGGGAUUUCCUUUAGCAUGCAGGAAAAAAGAAGUUGAAUGUCCAGAGCCUAUCCCACCGAUAGGUGGAUACGUCACUCGUCAUAGUGGGGCAAAUGCGGGGAGCGUGAGGUUUUCUUGUCUCGAUGGUUUAGAGACUGAAGGGCAAGUGGAAGCC
Molecule: long non-coding RNA, 548 nt
Organism: Liolophura sinensis
Lineage: Eukaryota; Metazoa; Mollusca; Polyplacophora; Chitonida; Chitonidae
Exons: 3
Source: RefSeq, a predicted model, not a curated record